GCCAACGUAGCUCAGGGGUAGAGCACCACCUUGGUAAGGUGGGGGUCGGCAGUUCAAUUCUGCUCGUUGGCU
RNAcentral lists this transfer RNA (72 nucleotides) under Aureispira. RNAcentral describes it as "tRNA-Thr". It matches the Rfam family "tRNA". Rfam says of the family: Transfer RNA (tRNA) molecules are approximately 80 nucleotides in length. RNAcentral also lists the same sequence under 5 other names. Lineage: Bacteria; Pseudomonadati; Bacteroidota; Saprospiria; Saprospirales; Saprospiraceae. The record is from RNAcentral.